UCACGGAGAGUUUGAUCCUGGCUCAGGACGAACGCUGGCGGCGUGCUUAACACAUGCAAGUCGAACGAUGAAGCCCUUCGGGGUGGAUUAGUGGCGAACGGGUGAGUAACACGUGGGCAAUCUGCCCUUCACUCUGGGACAAGCCCUGGAAACGGGGUCUAAUACCGGAUAACACUCUGUCCCGCAUGGGACGGGGUUAAAAGCUCCGGCGGUGAAGGAUGAGCCCGCGGCCUAUCAGCUUGUUGGUGGGGUGAUGGCCUACCAAGGCGACGACGGGUAGCCGGCCUGAGAGGGCGACCGGCCACACUGGGACUGAGACACGGCCCAGACUCCUACGGGGAGGCAGCAGUGGGGAAUAUUGCACAAUGGGCGAAAGCCUGAUGCAGCGACGCCGCGUGAGGGAUGACGGCCUUCGGGUUGUAAACCUCUUUCAGCAGGGAAGAAGCGAAAGUGACGGUACCUGCAGAAGAAGCGCCGGCUAACUACGUGCCAGCAGCCGCGGUAAUACGUAGGGC
This 515-nucleotide ribosomal RNA is filed under the name Streptomyces sp. OB-33. RNAcentral's name for it is "bacterial SSU rRNA". It matches the Rfam family "Bacterial small subunit ribosomal RNA", at positions 1 to 533 of the family's 1533-position model. Lineage: Bacteria; Bacillati; Actinomycetota; Actinomycetes; Kitasatosporales; Streptomycetaceae. The record is from RNAcentral.